RNAcentral lists this ribosomal RNA (712 nucleotides) under Priestia megaterium. RNAcentral's name for it is "bacterial SSU rRNA". It matches the Rfam family "Bacterial small subunit ribosomal RNA", at positions 46 to 743 of the family's 1533-position model. Lineage: Bacteria; Bacillati; Bacillota; Bacilli; Caryophanales; Bacillaceae. The record is from RNAcentral.
GCUAUAAUGCAGUCGAGCGAACUGAUUAGAAGCUUGCUUCUAUGACGUUAGCGGCGGACGGGUGAGUAACACGUGGGCAACCUGCCUGUAAGACUGGGAUAACUUCGGGAAACCGAAGCUAAUACCGGAUAGGAUCUUCUCCUUCAUGGGAGAUGAUUGAAAGAUGGUUUCGGCUAUCACUUACAGAUGGGCCCGCGGUGCAUUAGCUAGUUGGUGAGGUAACGGCUCACCAAGGCAACGAUGCAUAGCCGACCUGAGAGGGUGAUCGGCCACACUGGGACUGAGACACGGCCCAGACUCCUACGGGAGGCAGCAGUAGGGAAUCUUCCGCAAUGGACGAAAGUCUGACGGAGCAACGCCGCGUGAGUGAUGAAGGCUUUCGGGUCGUAAAACUCUGUUGUUAGGGAAGAACAAGUACAAGAGUAACUGCUUGUACCUUGACGGUACCUAACCAGAAAGCCACGGCUAACUACGUGCCAGCAGCCGCGGUAAUACGUAGGUGGCAAGCGUUAUCCGGAAUUAUUGGGCGUAAAGCGCGCGCAGGCGGUUUCUUAAGUCUGAUGUGAAAGCCCACGGCUCAACCGUGGAGGGUCAUUGGAAACUGGGGAACUUGAGUGCAGAAGAGAAAAGCGGAAUUCCACGUGUAGCGGUGAAAUGCGUAGAGAUGUGGAGGAACACCAGUGGCGAAGGCGGCUUUUUGGUCUGUAACUGA